AGAGUUUGAUCAUGGCUCAGAUUGAACGCUGGCGGAAUGCUUUACACAUGCAAGUCGAACGAUGAACCUUAGCUUGCUAAGGGGAUUAGUGGCGAACGGGUGAGUAAUAUAUCGGAACGUGCCUUGUAAUGGGGGAUAACUAGUCGAAAGAUUAGCUAAUACCGCAUACGCCCUGAGGGGGAAAGUAGGGGAUCUUCGGACCUUACGUUAUAAGAGCGGCCGAUAUCUGAUUAGCUAGUUGGUGGGGUAAUGGCCUACCAAGGCUUCGAUCAGUAGCUGGUCUGAGAGGACGACCAGCCACACUGGAACUGAGACACGGUCCAGACUCCUACGGGAGGCAGCAGUGGGGAAUUUUGGACAAUGGGCGCAAGCCUGAUCCAGCCAUUCCGCGUGAGUGAAGAAGGCCUUCGGGUUGUAAAGCUCUUUCGCAAGGGAAGAAAACUUACACAAUAACACUGUGUGAGGCUGACGGUACCUUGAUAAGAAGCACCGGCUAACUACGUGCCAGCAGCCGCGGUAAUACGUAGGGUGCGAGCGUUAAUCGGAAUUACUGGGCGUAAAGCGUGCGCAGGCGGUUUGGCAAGUCAGAUGUGAAAUCCCCGAGCUCAACUUGGGAACUGCGUUUGAAACUGCCAGACUAGAAUAUGUCAGAGGGGGGUAGAAUUCCACGUGUAGCAGUGAAAUGCGUAGAGAUGUGGAGGAAUACCAAUGGCGAAGGCAGCCCCCUGGGAUAAUAUUGACGCUCAUGCACGAAAGCGUGGGGAGCAAACAGGAUUAGAUACCCUGGUAGUCCACGCCCU
This 800-nucleotide ribosomal RNA is filed under the name uncultured bacterium. RNAcentral describes it as "bacterial SSU rRNA". It matches the Rfam family "Bacterial small subunit ribosomal RNA", at positions 8 to 803 of the family's 1533-position model. The record is from RNAcentral.